Molecule: ribosomal RNA, 274 nt
Filed under: uncultured bacterium
Lineage: Bacteria
Description: partial 16S ribosomal RNA
Rfam family: Bacterial small subunit ribosomal RNA
Source: RNAcentral
AUACGGAGGGUGCAAGCGUUAAUCGGAAUUACUGGGCGUAAAGCGCGCGUAGGCGGCUGAUUAAGUCGGAUGUGAAAUCCCUGGGCUCAACCUAGGAACUGCAUCCGAUACUGGUCAGCUAGAGUUUUGGAGAGGUAAGUGGAAUUUCCGGUGUAGCGGUGAAAUGCGUAGAGAUCGGAAGGAACACCAGUGGCGAAGGCGACUUACUGGCCAAAAACUGACGCUGAGGUGCGAAAGCGUGGGUAGCGAACAGGAUUAGAAACCCUUGUAGUCC